Molecule: long non-coding RNA, 2373 nt
Filed under: Homo sapiens (human)
Lineage: Eukaryota; Metazoa; Chordata; Mammalia; Primates; Hominidae
Description: non-protein coding lnc-PIWIL3-2:5
Source: RNAcentral
AGGGACGGACUGGCACCUGCAGGAAGGACAGGGGCUUGGCUGAGCAGAGCAUGGCCAGCCUAGCCGAGGGCAGCCAGCAUCCUACACUCACUGGUCUCGAGGUGCCCAAGCCAGGGGCCCAGGACUUUGGGCAUUACUGGGAAAUGAUGGGAACCCAGGGUGAGGUGGCGUGAAACAAGAUGAGAUGGUAAGAUCUGCUUUCACUUUAAAGGAAUAUUUCUGGUUGUUGCUUGGAAAAGAAAUGUCAGGGGCAAGAAUGGUGCAGGAGGGCCGGCCUGGAGGACGGGGUGGGACUGCAGGGCGAGGGCAGGAGCCUGCGCUGGGUCAGGAGCCUGCGCUUACAUCGGAGGUGGCUGGGAGACCCUGGCUCUGGGGCAGAGGCCUGAGUAAGGGGGCCUUGCUGGGGAUUUGGGGGCCUCUGCGUGCUGGUGCCUUCCCGCCUCCAUUCCUCUCAGCCCUGAUUAGCUCUGUCUUGGAACGGGGUAACUACCUUUAUUCGAGAACUUGGGGCAAGCCCUGGGCUAUUCUGAAAACUCAAGCAUAUCGUUUUGAUUUCUCCACCUACAAGGAGCCCCAGGCUUCCUGAGACCUUGGGACACAGCAGCGCCAUAAACUGCUGCCCCUCCCAGGCCCAGGUGUUCACCCCAGGCUAGGGGUAGGGCUGGGGCUGCACCUUGGAACCUACCCUCCACCAGGGUUGUGGGGACUUCCAUGCAGCCUCAGUGGGAGCUUGCCUGUCACCUGCGGCCCAGGUGGUGUGACAAUGACCUUUGCCCUCCCCCUCCUUCCCACAGGUCCCGCAACUUAGCUGUGGAGACAGAUGGCAGUGGCAAGAGGCCGCUGCACGUGAACAAAUGCCCUCCCCACUCCGCGCACCCCCUGGUGGCUCAGGAGACUCUAUAGCCUGGGGCACAAGUGGCCCUUGAGGUGAUGUCAGUGCCCAGGUGCCUGGGUUCCUAUGUCCAGGGCACCUGCUCUGUCGCUGAAGGCUCUGACAAACUCUCAAGUGUCCGGGGAAAGAGACGCCCUGCUUCUUUUUCACAGCCUCCUGGUGGCCCUAGGCCUUUGUUACGGAGGCUCUGCCAAGGUGCACAUCUGGGUCCCAAGUAAACACCUAGAACUCAGAACUCCAGACAUCAGGCUCCAUGUGAAAAUCCGGGUCCAGGAAAUAUGGGUCCCAGGAAGUCCUCAGUCACCAAGAAACACUCAGGCCUCAGUUGGCUAUCCAGUCCCAAGUUGACACCCAGGCCUCAGGUGAACACCAGGCGCUAAGAAAACAUCAGGCCCCAGCUGAGAUCAAUCCCUGGGUGGUCGCCCGAACCCGACCUAAAUACCAAGCCCCAGGUUGACAUAGGGCCCCAGGUCACAUUAGGCUCCAGGUAGACACUGAACUCUAAGUAGACUUUAGGCCCCAUGUUCACAGCCACACCUCAAGAGGACACCACACCCCAGGGUAGCUGUAAGACUCCAUCCAGACACCAGUCCCCAGGUGGAGAAUUUGGGCCCCAUUGGAUAUCAGGUUCCAGGUAAACACCAAACCCUAGUUGGGUAUCUAAUCCAUAGGAGGACAUGAGGCACCAGGUUGGCACACAGCCCAUGCAUAGAUACCUACAGCACAGGUGGACAUGAGGCCUCAGGUACAUACCCAGCCCCCAGGUGACUAUCAGGGCCUAGGUGAACACCAGCUCCUAGAUGAACAUCGGGACCCCAGUGGAUACCCAGGCCCCUGGGAAACAUCAGGCUCCAGGUGGACACCAGGACCCAUGUGGGCAACCAGGUCCACAGGUACAUCAGGUUCCACACGGACACCCAACCUCCAAGUGGAUACCGAGCCCCCAGGGGUACACACCAGUCCCUCAACAACCGAAAGGUCACAUAUUCUCUGGCCAAAUGCAACACAGUCCUCUCCCCCAAAAAUAUGUACUUGGGAAACUGAAAAGUACACUUCUCAAUCAUUCUCAAGUCAAGGAACUCUUAAUAGAAGGCCAAAGACAUACCGAAAGAACAAACCAUGAAACUCCCGCAUCCAACACGAGUGCAAUGCUGCUCAACUAGUCCCAGAGCAAGACCCACCACAGGCUUUGCAUGGAGGACACCAAGCUAAUUUGUUUUUUUUGUAUUUUUAGUAGAGACGGGGUUUCACCAUGUUAGUCAGGAUGGUCUCGAUCUCCUGACCUCGUGAUCUGCCCGCCUCAGCCUCCCAAAGUGCUGGGAUUACAGGCCUGAGUCACUGCACCCAGCGAGAUAUGCGUACAUUUUUAAACAUGUCAAAUGUGAGAUGCAAUAUUUCUCAUAGAUUAAAACAAAACACAAACUCAAAAUCAGUAAUAUUCUUCACAUUUCAAAAUAUAAUGUAUUUUGCUGGAUUACCAC